RNAcentral lists this ribosomal RNA (164 nucleotides) under uncultured bacterium. Its description in RNAcentral is "partial 16S rRNA". It matches the Rfam family "Bacterial small subunit ribosomal RNA", at positions 355 to 511 of the family's 1533-position model. The record is from RNAcentral.
UAGGGAAUCUUCGGCAAUGGACGAAAGUCUGACCGAGCAACGCCGCGUGAGUGAAGAAGGUUUUCGAAUCGUAAACUCUGUUGGUAGAGAAGAACGUUGGUGAGAGUGGAAAGCUCAUCAAGUGACGGUAACUACCCAGAAAGGGACGGCUAACUACGUGCUAG